GAUGAACGCUGGCUACAGGCUUAACACAUGCAAGUCGAGGGGAAACGGCAUUGAGUGCUUGCACUGAAUGGACGUCGACCGGCGCACGGGUGAGUAACGCGUAUCCAACCUUCCCGUUACUGCGGGAUAACCUGCCGAAAGGCAGACUAAUACCGCAUGUUCUUCGAUGACGGCAUCAGAUUCGAAGCAAAGAUCCGUCGGUAACGGAGGGGGAUGCGUCGGAUUAGCUUGUUGGCGGGGCGACGGCCCACCAAGGCGACGAUCAGUAGGGGUUCUGAGAGGAAGGUCCCCCACAUUGGAACUGAGACACGGUCCAAACUCCUACGGGAGGCAGCAGUGAGGAAUAUUGGUCAAUGGGCGGAAGCCUGAACCAGCCAAGUAGCGUGCAGGAGGACGGCCCUACGGGUUGUAAACUGCUUUUAUGCGGGGAUAAAGUGAGGGACGUGUCCCUUUUUGCAGGUACCG
This 465-nucleotide ribosomal RNA is filed under the name Prevotella sp. oral taxon G70. RNAcentral describes it as "bacterial SSU rRNA". It matches the Rfam family "Bacterial small subunit ribosomal RNA", at positions 28 to 480 of the family's 1533-position model. Lineage: Bacteria; Pseudomonadati; Bacteroidota; Bacteroidia; Bacteroidales; Prevotellaceae. The record is from RNAcentral.